CCGAACCCACACCUGUUGAAAAAGGUCGGGAUGAGCUGUGGCUAGGGGUGAAAGGCCAAUCAAACUCGGAGAUAGCUGGUUCUCUGCGAAAUCUAUUUAGGUAGAGCGUCGGACGAAUACCCUCGGGGGUAGAGCACUGGAUGGGUAAUGGGGUCCCACAGACUUACUGAUCCUAACCAAACUCCGAAUACCGAGGAGUACUAUCCGGCAGACACACAGCGGGUGCUAACGUCCGUUGUGGAGAGGGAAACAACCCUGACCGACAGUUAAGGCCCCUAAUUCAUGGCUAAGUGGGAAAGCAGGUGGGACGACCAAAACAACCAGGAGGUUGGCUUAGAAGCAGCCAUCUUUUAAAGAUAGCGUAACAGCUCACUGGUCUAAUCAAGUUGUCCUGCGGCGAAGAUGUAACGGGGCUCAAG
RNAcentral lists this ribosomal RNA (419 nucleotides) under Ctenophora environmental sample. RNAcentral's name for it is "partial Bacterial large subunit ribosomal RNA". It matches the Rfam family "Bacterial large subunit ribosomal RNA", at positions 774 to 1186 of the family's 2925-position model. The record is from RNAcentral. Lineage: Eukaryota; Metazoa; Ctenophora.